Molecule: long non-coding RNA, 3021 nt
Filed under: Salvia miltiorrhiza (redroot sage)
Lineage: Eukaryota; Viridiplantae; Streptophyta; Magnoliopsida; Lamiales; Lamiaceae
Description: long non-coding RNA (SMIL_LNC006508)
Source: RNAcentral
UGGCGUUUUAGCUCUACUCUGCUCUGGAGAUGUCUGCUCUGCUCUGGAUGUUGGCUCUGCUCUGGCGAGCGGGCCUUCAGCUUUGGCGCGGGCCUUCAGCUCUGGCCAGCUCUGCUCUGCACACCAAAACACCUAAAAAACACCAAUUUCAUCCACAAUUGCACUCUUCUAUCUAUAAAACCUAAAUCUCCUGCAAAGCAUAAAACAACACAUAAAACGCACCAAUUUCCAGAAGAUUAUCUUAAAAUAAACUCAUACAAACCACAAAAUUUAGAACAAUUAAGCAUAAAUCAACCCCCCCACACUUAGCCUUUUGCUUAUCCUCAAGCAAAAUCAAUAUGAAUCCUAGGAAGAGAUUGAUUUCAACAAUGCUAAUUUCCAUCCAAACAUUCACAAAGUCAAUUCAAAAUUUUACAAUCAACACACAUCUCUCGAUUAUGCAAGUAACUCAAAGUUUGUCGCGACCACUCGACUUAAUUAAGGAUAACUAAGCCGGGAAACCGCGACGAAGGGACACAGAUAUCGACGGCGAUAGAAAGGGAGUUUCUAUCACGACCGAACUUAAUUGGGGAUAAUUAAGCCAGGAAAGCGUAACUAAGGACACAGUUAUCGACGGCGAUAGAAAGGGAAUGAACAAAUAAUAGAGGAUCGAACUAAAAUUUGUUUAAAGAAGGGAAAAUUUAUAAUACACCUGAUGUUUAGUCACAAGACUCGAACAGACUUGUAGGUUCAGAUAAAACCGGCUUAACUGAAAGAACAUAAAACCUAAGAGUACGCAGCGGAAUAACAAAAUCUGAUUACAUGUAUGAAGACAUGUAUCCAAGAGUUCAUUCGUUUAUCUUAUGACAAAAGCUCCGCUCUUCACUUCAUCUCCAUCAGCCACUGCUCAACCUGCACAUUUAGAAAUAUAUGCAGGGCUGAGUACAAAAAGCACCCAGCGGGCACGUAUGCCUAAAUAAACGUAUAAACGUGCUUCAUGAAACUGUAAAUUGUCAUGCCAUUAUAAACAGUACAACAAGGGAGUUUUAGCUAAAUAGGCCCAAGCUUACUAAAUUCAUUUAUGGUUCUUAAAGUUCGUCUGUGCAGACUAAGUUCUCUCGUAUCUAUCAUAUCUGGAACUGUGUGUCGGAGAGGUGGCCACCUCUCACGAACACUUGACCGGCCAACCCGCUAGAUGACUCACGGUCAUUGGUGUACACUAGUCAAGGCAGGAUAGCUAUCAACUGCUCAAGACCCGAAUUCGAUUACAUCAUUGGCAAAGCCAAAGCAGAUAGAUAUCAUACUAAAACUGAAACAUUUUAUGGCAAGACAAUACUUGAAAUAACUUUAAUUCAAAGAUUUUGUAACGAAAUAACUUGUUCAAAGGUAGCAUUAAACUCGUUUGAUAGAUAUAUAAAACUGAAAUUAACAGUUAAAUCAUCUCAUGCAUUCAUUCGUAUAAGAGGCCUACGACACGCAGGGGAUCUCUAUAUACGUAUAGUAAAAGUAAUGCCCACCUGAUCCUCAGUGUGGAAGAGAGGUGAUCUUAAGAGGUGGUACCGUCCUGUGAACCAAUUCCUACAAGACGAGUUCUCAACUCUUAGCACAUAUCAUGGAUAACAAAAACCGUUGUCUACUUGGGAUCUCUAGGUCAACCUAUUCCCGGACUGACAACGCAAAAUCGAACUAGGGAUUAUGCAUUUUACAUACGUUAGCUUAUCUUGAUGCCUUAUCUAGGUUAACUCACUCAUUUUCAUGAAAACUUUGCACAAAACAUAUCCCAAACUCGUCAUGCACAUAUACAUAAUAUUUCAUGAAACAUCCUUUAAAACCAACUUUCAAACUUAGAAAAUAAUUCAACAACUUGAGCUCUUAAGGGGCUGUUUUGCAACAGACACCAAUUCUGCCUCGGAUCUCUAAAUGAGGCUCCAAAGGACAUUCUGGAAACUAGACAUUUCAAGGAUCAUUCUCCAAUUUGAAUCGAAUGAAACAGAGUUCAAACGAGCAAGAUAUGCCCACUCAAAGAUGGGUACUUAACAAGCAAAAAUCUGGAAAUUUCAGAUUUCCAGAUUAGAACCAAGUCAAUGGGCCUUCUUAAAAAUUCAUAUCUCCCAUUACAAAACUACACUGGGAACCCCAAGGGUCAAUCUGAAAACUAGGGAGAGAGUGUGACACUCUCCAGUUGAAUUUACCCCAAGAAGAUUCAUGGUUUAGGAGAUAUUAACAUCCAAAGUUCAGUGCACAAAAAGAGUUCAAGUUCGGCAGAUUCAAAGUUUAAUUCAGAAAAACAACUUUAGGCUUUUACCAAAAAUUCUACAAAUGAACAAAUAAGUUCCCAACAUGUCAAUGGAUAUUCAAUAUAAAAAUGGGCUUGAGAAUCAAAGAUUAGGUUGGCCUUCGCCACCUCAAGGUCGUAGGUUUGUAAAACCUACUGGAGGAUACACAGAAUAAGAACUAGAUUUCAAAGAAUUAUACCGGGCAUUUCCCUCAUCCAAAAAUAGUGAGGCCAGUUUUCAAACGAAAGAUAAGGGAGUCUAGAGUAUCAUAUUAAUGUUUAAAAGGGUUUUACCGAUUGAAACGGGACUUAUGGCCUCCCAAAAAUUGUUUACCAGAAAUGCAUUCCAGACGGGCAGUGAUGUUUAACAAUUCAUAAAUAAAUCAUAAGAGCUCUAAAAAUUCUGAAACUAUACCAUAGUGUAGAAAACAUAUAAAGUAUGAUACAUAAUUAAUUUGGGAAUUUUUAGGCACCGUUUGGAUGGCUGAAAUCGCCUUGCAAAAUACUGCCGGAGCAGUGUGCUUAUGGCAGAUUCGCAGCUUUACCUCAUGCACGAUUUUUCACCCAAUAAACUCUACCAAAAUAAACAUCCAAGACCAUAAAACAUAUCCUCACACAAUAUAGCACACAUAUGUGUAAAAAUCCGUGGUCUUAAAGUAUUUUCAGUUGAGAAGACAAAAGAAAACUCACCCUCGAAGCACAACCUUCACUCUAACUUUACGCCCUAGUUUUACCAUGCUCUCCCUUGGUUUGAUACUCCUCUUGGG